UCUUCUUCUGAUCUUCUUCUUCUUCUUCUCAUAGCACUAAUAGAAACCAAAGACCCAUCUCUGAUUUCUUCUCAAUCUUCACAUUCCUCACCCCAAAAUCAAAUCUUUGGAAUCACCCAUUUCACAAUGUCUACCGGAAUCGUGACCCGGUUCAAGGAAGCUGACCAAUCGACGAUGGCGGCGCACCAGCUGUGGUCCGAAUUCACCGACCCGACCGCCCUCAGCCUCCCUUCAAGCCUCUUCGACCCCUCGACCCGAGUCUUCCAGAACUUGACCCGGUUCUUCUUCUUCUUCUUCUUCAGAUAAUCACAUGCCUAAACCAACAAUUUAUCGACGAAGCUGGAGCCACUGGUGACGACGAUCCUAACCCUGCGCCUUGCCCAGGCCGGCGGGAACCUUGCCGGCAUUUUUGCGAAGGUCGGUGGAGAAGGAGGCAGUGUUGAUUCGGUCGUGGACGGAGGAGAAGGAUCGGAGGAAUAGUUCGUAUAGCUGGAACUGUGGCAGUUAGGCACAAACAAAAUAUUCAUUUCGGUAAAUUUUCACCUAGCUUCCAUCUCCCGCUGCCUCUCUCUCAAAUCUGCCCCAAUUCUCUUAGUAAAGUCGGCCGGAUCCGGACGGAUAUUUCCGGCCACAUUCACAAUGGAGGCUCACGGGUCGGGGCUCUGGCGUGCCACCGUCUUGGCCUUCUGCGUCGCGGGUAUCUGGGCUGCUUAUAUCUGGUAGUCAAGCUCAGUUUAUUGAAUGGGUUGAAUUGGAGAAUCAGAAUUGUGAAGUUUGGUGUCGACCCAAGGAUUGAUCAAUUUUAUUUGGGUUGUUUGAGAAGGCUGAAUUCACUAAUUGGUUGCUGGUAGAAAUUGUUGGAGUUUAAGUCGAAACUAUGAGCAAGGAUUUGGGUUCUGUGAUCAUUCUGAAACAAAGGUAAUUUUGUGAAACUCGUUAACUCAAUGAACAAUUGUUCCUGCAAUUUGAAUGCCAAUGGAAUUUGUAUAUGAGAAAAUGAUUGUUGAAUUGACGUCUGGUAUUGAUUAAACAUGACAAUGGCUGAGUUGAUAUUGGUGUCACGUUAGAAAUAGUUAAUGUGAUGUGAUCUGGAAAGAAA
Molecule: long non-coding RNA, 1099 nt
Organism: Rosa rugosa (rugosa rose)
Lineage: Eukaryota; Viridiplantae; Streptophyta; Magnoliopsida; Rosales; Rosaceae
Exons: 2
Source: RefSeq, a predicted model, not a curated record